This 2078-nucleotide long non-coding RNA is filed under the name Mytilus galloprovincialis (Mediterranean mussel). Lineage: Eukaryota; Metazoa; Mollusca; Bivalvia; Mytilida; Mytilidae. The record is from RNAcentral.
UUUUAAAUGGAACGGCCAAAAACGACGUGCCAUUUUCCUAAAUCAAAAAGGUAUUUAUUUAAAAGAAAAACUACCUUAUUCUUGUAUCGUGGAUAUAAAGCAAUAUAUUUGCUGUACGUCGAUUUGCAAAUAUUGUAUGCAUGUUCUGGUUGAGAACAAAUAAAAAUAAAUAUAAUGUGUAGGUUUUGGACUGCAACUGUAAAAUGAUUUAUUGGAAGGUACAUAUACAUGUAUGUAGCAAUGCAUCACUCCACCUUUGGACAGACCAAAAAGUUGUUGCGAGGGUACUUUGCAUGCAGAGAGGAUCGAAUUAUAUUCCCGACACAGGCAUUCAAAUGUGAAUCAGUCGCCAUUCUUACCGGACGUGUCUUGGCAUUUAUACAUAACCUACAACCAAAACAGAAACCUCACUUUGGCAAGUGUUUUAGGUGAUUGCUGAAAUGAGACAAAGAGAAGAACAUAUUUUUAUACCUCAUGCACCCUUGGUGUACAUUCUGUUUGCAAAAUUUAUUACUUUUAUGUUACGACAAAAUGCAUGCAUAUAAAAUGCAUACAUGUAUGCUUAAUCGCAAGUCUUGUAAUUUUUUGAGUAAUUGUGAAUAAUUAUAAAUAUUUAUUAUAAUAUAAUACAUUUUGAAAUUCAAUUGUUUGUUUAAUGUCUUGUAGUAGGUAUGAUCUAAAUAAUAAGGAAAAAAUGCUGAAUAACUUAAUUUUAAGAUUUAAAAAAAGUAGUAUUUUCUACCCAAGGACAGCUGUUUUCCAUUUGUUUAGUAGGUUGAGUAGACAGAGUCUACCGUUUAUUACUCAUCCAACUGAUCAAUGAAAAACACCUGUCAUAUUCCUCGUGUACAAAAUACUAGUUUUCUUUUAAAUCUAAAUUUACGAAACAGUUGAUUUAUAAUAUUGACCAUAUCAAUGAUAAAUUGGAUUAUCAAUUAACCUUGAAUUUGUCUUCCUAAUAGGAUUGUCCCCACGAUCCGAGACUAGAUCUUACACGAUCCCUCCACAGUAAGCAUUGCGUUCGAUCGUUGUUUUUGUUUCUUUCGAUAUACAGAAUAACAAUGGGUUCGCUCAUAUUUUCAUGAUUUUGUUUGUAAUAGUGCCAUAAGCAGCAUGCAUGGCCUUCAAGAUAAAUAAUCUAAAUGAUUAUAUGUUUAGAUAAUGGCAUCAACUGCACCUACAUCAUGUGGACCUUGUAAAAAAAUAGGAGAAACUAUUUCAGCUGACUUCUGGUGUUAUAACUGUGAUGAAGGAUUUUGCUCAACAUGUUCCAACCAUCACAAAAGAUUCAAUGGAAUAGAGGAUUACAAAAUCAUCGAUAUUAAAACCAUCAAUCCGACAAAACUAUAUAGAAUGUGACAAACAUGGAAACCAGCUUUAUUUGUACUGCGCAAAUCAUUUAGUACCUUGCUGUGAAGAAUGUAAUUCCACUAGCCAUUCUAAAUGUACUGGAAUAAAAACAUUAACUAGUGUAGUGGAGAGAACUAAAAUUGAAAAAAUGAAAGAAUCUGUAGCACGUGUAGAGCGAGAUAUCGAUUAUGUCUCAAAUAUUUGUGAAUAAAUAUUGAAUAUGAAAUUAAAAAACGUCAAACAGGUGAAGACCAGUAUUUAGGCACUAAGAAAUCAAUUGAAGAUAUUCGGAAGGAAAUAAAUAAACAUUUAGACAAACUAAAGGAGAAAAUAUGUCAAAAAGCAGAAACUAUUUGGAAUCAGGAAAAAUCAGCAGCCAUGCACAGAUUUCAUUUCUGAAGUUGAAGGAAGAACGAAAAGCUUGAAGGAAAUUAAAGCCAAUGUGCCAACAGUCAUGUCACAUGCCUCAAAACUCCAAUCAUUUUUAUGUCUACAUCAGAUUAAACAACAAGUAUAUAAAUGUCAACGAUGUAUUGAAGACUGGGAAACAGAUGAGAAGGUUAGAGAAUUUGACAUCAAACUGGCGCAAUAUAGUAAAUUAGAAAAUAUAUUAAGCAAAUUUUAAUCGUUAGAAAGCUUAGGGGAAGUAAAAGUUACUAGAACAGAACCCUCACUGUACGUGGGAACAGGCAUGACAAUGGCAGGAUACAUUUCACCACAGUCCAUUA